RNAcentral lists this long non-coding RNA (1200 nucleotides) under Homo sapiens (human). RNAcentral describes it as "non-protein coding lnc-ZFHX4-2:4". Lineage: Eukaryota; Metazoa; Chordata; Mammalia; Primates; Hominidae. The record is from RNAcentral.
UUACUGAAAACCCACCAAUCUGAUCUUUUAUGAGAAGCUAGUCCCUGAAAAGGCCCUUGGAUCAAAGGUCAAAAACUUGAAGCACAGAGUGGGAUGUCAGAUGCCAAGAUUUAAAUCUAGUCAUUUGAUUCCAGAGCCCACAUUCUUAAAUAAUAUGCUACACUGACCUUUAUUGUCUUUAAACAUUAUCUUUAUUUAAUGUGUUUCAUAGAAAUUACUUCUCAGGUAUUCCUAAAUUUAUUUUUAAAAAUAAUGUCAUGCUAUCACUAUAAUAUAGUUUUUUAAAUUAACUUGAGAGGUAAUGUAGUAUGAUCAACUUCCUUAAUGGCCUUUUAAACUGGAAAUAACUAUUAAAUAUUUUAAUAUUAUAAAUUAACAGGCAAAAUGGUGAAAAAUCUAACAUCUGGUUCUUAAAAGUAAGUUGAAAUAUAAGAUCAGAUUUGAAUGCACAUGGAAAAAUAGAACUGGCAAAUAAUGCCAUAUUUGAAGAUCUUUUAGUAUUCUCUGGUAUUUUUCCUUUCAUUUCAAAAUUGUUAUAUUCUUUUUAAUGACUUCAAAUGAAUUAGGAAAUGUCAGGCUUCUAAAAAUCAAACAGAACGUCCAACCAGUAGAUUUCAUUCAGGGCAGUGGGAGCCUGUUCGGUUGUUUCCUCUUUCCCCCUCACUUUUAAAAAUCCUCAAUCACUGCCAUUUCUCUUCUCAGCUUUCACAACACUUUACAGGCAGCUGAAUGAAAGGGCAGAAGCUUCCUCUGAAACUCCUGUUAUUUCAGCUCUAAAAUCAGCUGAAAAGGAUGCCCUCCCCAGAGACAGAAAUGCAUUCCCUCCAUCAUGAACCUGCAAUGCCCUCAGGUUGUGGCAAGGGAGAAGUUUAGCACUUGAACCUAGAUAACGCUAUUUUUUUAAUCAAAGUGCACCAUUCUUGUUUCAUAUGGCCUGUGGCACAAUUUAUUUAAAACAAUAUGGUGCAUCAAAGAAGGUAAACAAUAAUAACAAUAAUAAUAAUAUAGGAAUAGCAAUGUGCACAUAAAUAAUAUAGGAAAACACAUGGCCUCAGUACCUUCAUGAAAUGGGACUUCAAUAUACAUAUUUCUUAUACAGCUUUAUGCAUGACUUCAUUGCACUUCACUGCUCUGUUGUGUCACUCUACCAAUAAACCUAUACAUCAUACUGAGUGAAGUAUGUUCACAGUCCCUUUACUU